This is a non-coding RNA of Bemisia tabaci, 782 nucleotides long. NCBI's taxonomy places the organism in Eukaryota, Metazoa, Arthropoda, Insecta, Hemiptera, Aleyrodidae. The record is from RefSeq and is a predicted model, not a curated record.
CUUUUUUCAAGUUAGAUCAGUACUUUAAUCCGGGUGAAAGAAUUUCAAUAAAAUUUUUAAUUUUAUUUCACUUUCAUUUCAGACAGACAGGCCUAACCAAUUGCAUCAGAAAGAAUGGAAACUUUUACAAGGAAAUAGAUCCUACUCUACCAUCACCAAAAAAAAAAUCAAUGCGGCUCAUGACUGAGUAGGAUUUUUUCAUGAUCCAACACAGUGGAAGCUAUCCUUGAACUCAACCGUGUCUUUGAACUGCAGAUGUGAGUCGAUUAUCUGGAAUAAUUCUGGAGGCUGAGGUAUUCUUCCUGUUUCUAAUUUUGACCAUACCGGAAUAUCUAAAAAGAGAAAAAUAAAAAUAAAAAAUAAAAUGGCAGGAGCAAGAGGAAAAAAUUUGACUGACCGCAAAAUAGUGGUAACAUUGAAGAAGCAUCGUUUCUAUACAGCUGAAAAUCAUGUCAAAAUAGGUUUCUGUUGUUUGAACACCAAUUUAAUGUGGGCCAUAGCAUUGUUUUCCCCUGAAAGCAUCUGUUGGGAGGCCGCAGUACAGCUACGGCAUUAUGAAAUGAGGAAAUUAUAAGGACUUUGAGAGCAGACUCAUAAUUGAGAAUUUCAGUUGUUUUACAUAAAUUUGGCUUAUGAAAAUUGAUUCAAAAACUAAUCCUCACUGCUCUCUUGUUAAAGCCAAUUUUUCCCGAUGAACUUGUUACACUGGACGAUCUCUGUUGAUGAUUGACAGAGAUUUAAUAGGAAAAGAAUAUAUUAUGCCAUCCAAAAUACUGAAAACA